UUUAGUAGCUCAUAUAUAUAUAUAUAUAUAUAUAUAUAUAUAUAUAUAUAUAUAUAUAUAUAUAUAUAUGUGUGUGUGUGUGUGUGUGUGUAUCUGAAGUCCAAUGGGGAAAUAAGUAGACCAUCCAAAACUAUUGACCGGAAGUGUAAUAUAAUUAUCCAUAGGUGAAGUGUUAUAACGACACCUCUGACCUUUAUAACAAACUAAACCGUUUGAAAAUCGGUAGAAAACUGAGCAAGUUAUUGUUAUUUAAAAACUACAUGCACCACUACUGCACAACAUUGUGAGUGAGUGAGCUGACCGAGACAAGAUGGCCGCCGGUGCGGACGUGCGACUCCUGGGCAAGGAGGAAGUGAAGGAUAAUCCAAUCAAAACAACCCGCCCUUAGUCAGACUCCGCCCCAUUACGUAGCGAGGGCCACUUUGAGAAGAGGGAAGGGUAGUUUAUCAUCAGAGACAGUCGGACACCUCUCCAACCAGCGUGUACAGUUGCUCUAAAGGUUUCGUCUUUACGCACAAAAUUUCUGUGUGAAAGCGUCGAUGGCUGCAGUCAGAAGCCCCAGAGGACACUUCCUCCUCUUCACUGUGCUGAUAUCCUUUUGCAUCACAGCUUCACUGGCCAAUGUGGAGCUACUGGAAACGAUCAAAGAAAAUCUCAAGAUCUUGGAGGAAAACUUAGAAACAACGAAGGCUUACUUUCAGGAGGAAUUGUUAAAGUACUCGAUUGAGAGGGACAGACUUGCCAAAAAACUGGAUCCGCUGAUGGAAGAGCAGAGAGAGCUGCUGCAGUCGUUACCUGAUUUCCUUCAAGUCCCGUUCAGCAGGCACCUUGACUACCUCCAGUUCUCCGUCGACACAUCCGAGGACCAAAUAGAUGAUGGGAUGGUGAAGUUGCACAGAGAGAUAGUUGCACAAGAGAAGGAACUGGAAUAUCAGAGGAUGCAAAUAAAAUGUUAUGAGGGACAUGUGAUGAAAGUUCAGUUCCAUGCAGCUCACACAGAAUUAUAAUCACAGUCUCUGACCAUGCAUCGUUCUCUCUUCUUUUUUUUUUGUGUUUUUUUCAGUGAAGCAUAAUUUUCCUACAACUAGAUUAGAACUCAUGCAACUUUUUAUAUAUUUACAUUUUGUUAAACUGAGACCUGAAAUGUAUUUGGAUUUCAGACAUGGGCAACUGGCGGCCCUCGGUCUAAAUCUGUGCGGCCAAAAAAAAAUUAGAAGUAACAUGAAGCUCAACAUAAUACACAAAAUAACAGAAAAAUGCACAGAAUGUCAACACAAAUACACGAGGAAACAACAACACAUAAGUCUAUUUUCUAAUGUCAACAUGUUCUCACCUGUUCAUUGAUGAUACCUAUAAAGACUGCUUGUUUAAGGACAGACCUUUGCUCUGAUCAAACGUUAUAGAUGACAUGUCGACACCUGCCUCAGUGUAAACUGUCAGCUUUCUGUAUGCUUGCUGUAUGCUCACCUGUGAACUGUUUUUGUCUCCCUGAUUUUGUAUUAAAUCGAGUAAAUUUGAAACUACAAAGACAAACUCAGUGUUUUAUUGUGACUCCUUGUUUAGUGUAUAUCACCACCCACAAAAUCCAAAAAGCCACAGAUUGGCAAGAAACAAAAAUGCAAACAUAACACACAAGAAAUAACAAAAACACAUAUGAAAAAAAAGUCUCAUUUUUAGAUAUUUUAGGAAGCCAUAAGCUUCACAUAGGAACUAGAUCAGACAUGGACAACUGGCGGAACGGGAACCAGUGGCGGCCCUCGGUCUAAAUCUGUGUGGCCCCCAAGACAAAUCCACCAAUAAUUGUAAUUCAAGAAAUUGAAAGUAAUAUGAAGCCCAACAUAAUAAACAAAAUAACAGAAAACUGCA
This 1866-nucleotide long non-coding RNA is filed under the name Gouania willdenowi (blunt-snouted clingfish). RNAcentral's name for it is "lncRNA (ENSGWIG00000020085.1)". Lineage: Eukaryota; Metazoa; Chordata; Actinopteri; Blenniiformes; Gobiesocidae. The record is from RNAcentral.